This 1100-nucleotide ribosomal RNA is filed under the name Aeromonas sp. RNAcentral describes it as "bacterial SSU rRNA". It matches the Rfam family "Bacterial small subunit ribosomal RNA", at positions 34 to 1118 of the family's 1533-position model. The record is from RNAcentral. Lineage: Bacteria; Pseudomonadati; Pseudomonadota; Gammaproteobacteria; Aeromonadales; Aeromonadaceae.
CGCAUGGCGCAGCUACACAUGCAGUCGAGCGGCAGCACGGAGAUAUCUCGCUCCUUUGGCCAGCGACCGACGGAUGGGUGAUGACUGCCAGGGGAUCUGCCCGAUCGAGAGGGAUAACUACUGCAAACGGUAACUAAUACCAAAGUCGCCCUACCGGGGAAAGCGAGGGACCUUCCUGCCUUGCGCGAUUGGAUGAACCCAGGUGGGAUUAGCUAGUUGGUGAGGUAAUGGCUCACCCAAGCAACCAUCCCUAGCUGGUCUGAAAGGAUGAUCACCCACACUGUGACUGAGACUCCGUACUCACUCCUACGGGAGGCAUGGGUGGGGAAUAUUGCAGGGUGGGGGAAACCCUGAUGCAUGCCUGCCGCGUGUGUGAAGCCUUCCUUCUGGUUGUAAAUUUCUUUCAGCAAGAAGGAAAGGUUGGUAACUAAUAACUGCCAUCUGUGACGUUACUCACAAAACAAGCACCGGCUAACUCCGUGCCAGCAGCCGCGGUAAUACGGAGGGUGCAAGCGUUAAUCGGAAUUACUGGGCGUAAAGCGCACGCAGGCGGUUGGAUAAGAUAGAUGUGAAAUCCCCGGGCUCAACCUGGUGAAUUGCAUUUAAAACUGUCUAGCUUCUUGCUUGUAGAGGGGGGUAUAAUUCCGUGUGUAUCGGUGCAUGCAUAUAGAUAUGAAGGAAUACCGGUGGCGAAGGCGGCCCCCUGGACAAAGACUGACGCUCGCGUGCGAAAGCGUGGGGAGCAAAUUGAUUACAUACCCUGGUACCCCCUACAUAAACUAUAUCUAUAUGGAGUGCUGUGUCCUUGAGACGUGGCUUACCGAGCUAACUCGUUAAAUCGACCGCCUGGUGAGUACGGACGCAAAGUUAAAACUCGAAUUGAAUUGACGGCGCGCCCACACGAGCGAUGGAGCGUGUGAUUUAAAUGCGAUGCAAAGCAAACAAACCUUACUCUGGCCUUGACAUGUAUGUAUCCUAGCAUGAGAUGGGUGCGUGCCGUAGUGAAUCACAAGACGCGGUGCUGCAUGCUGCCGUCAGCUCGUUGUAGAUGAUAUGUUGAGUCAGUCACGCACGAACCCAUCAUCCUAUUCUUUUCUUGC